ACUCCUACGGGAGGCAGCAGUGGGGAAUCUUAGACAAUGGGCGCAAGCCUGAUCUAGCCAUGCCGCGUGAGUGAUGAAGGCCUUAGGGUCGUAAAGCUCUUUCGCCUGUGAUGAUAAUGACAGUAGCAGGUAAAGAAACCCCGGCUAACUCCGUGCCAGCAGCCGCGGUAAUACGGAGGGGGUUAGGCGUUGUUCGGAAUUACUGGGCGUAAAGCGCACGUAGGCGGAUUGGAAAGUUGGGGGUGAAAUCCCGGGG
Molecule: ribosomal RNA, 256 nt
Filed under: uncultured bacterium
Lineage: Bacteria
Description: partial 16S ribosomal RNA
Rfam family: Bacterial small subunit ribosomal RNA
Source: RNAcentral